CACGUAGGGCGCAAGCGUUGUCCGGAAUUAUUGGGCGUAAAGAGCUCGUAGGCGGACUGUCACGUCCGCUGUGAAAAGCUAGGGCUUAACCCUGGCCUUGCAGUGGAUACGGGCAGACUAGAGGUAGGUAGGGGAGAAUGGAAUUCCCGGUGUAGCGGUGGAAUGCGCAGAUAUCAGGAAGAACACCCGUGGCGAAGGCGGCUCUCUGGAACGCAACUGACGCUGAGGCACGAAAGCCGUGGGGGAGCAAACAGG
Molecule: ribosomal RNA, 255 nt
Filed under: uncultured bacterium
Lineage: Bacteria
Description: partial 16S ribosomal RNA
Rfam family: Bacterial small subunit ribosomal RNA
Source: RNAcentral